ACUCCUACGGGAGGCAGCAGUGGGGAAUAUUGCACAAUGGGCGCAAGCCUGAUGCAGCAACGCCGCGUGAGGGACGACGGCCUUCGGGUUGUAAACCUCUUUUAGUAGGGAAGAAGCGAAAGUGACGGUACCUGCAGAAAAAGCACCGGCUAACUACGUGCCAGCAGCCGCGGUAAUACGUAGGGUGCAAGCGUUAUCCGGAAUUAUUGGGCGUAAAGAGCUCGUAGGCGGUUUGUCGCGUCUGCUGUGAAAACUGGAGGCUCAACCUCCAGCCUGCAGUGGGUACGGGCAGACUAGAGUGCGGUAGGGGAGAUUGGAAUUCCUGGUGUAGCGGUGGAAUGCGCAGAUAUCAGGAGGAACACCGAUGGCGAAGGCAGGUCUCUGGGCCGUAACUGACGCUGAGGAGCGAAAGCAUGGGGAGCGAACAGGAUUAGAUACCCUGGUAGUCCAUGCCGUAAACGUUGGGAACUAGAUGUAGGGACCAUUCCACGGUUUCUGUGUCGCAGCUAACGCAUUAAGUUCCCCGCCUGGGGAGUACGGCCGCAAGGCUAAAACUCAAAGGAAUUGACGGGGGCCCGCACAAGCGGCGGAGCAUGCGGAUUAAUUCGAUGCAACGCGAAGAACCUUACCAAGGCUUGACAUAUACCGGAAAAGUUCAGAAAUGUUCUCCCCGCAAGGUCGGUAUACAGGUGGUGCAUGGUUGUCGUCAGCUCGUGUCGUGAGAUGUUGGGUUAAGUCCCGCAACGAGCGCAACCCUCGUUCUAUGUUGCCAGCACGUAAUGGUGGGAACUCAUAGGAGACUGCCGGGGUCAACUCGGA
Molecule: ribosomal RNA, 819 nt
Filed under: uncultured Actinomycetes bacterium
Lineage: Bacteria; Bacillati; Actinomycetota; Actinomycetes
Description: bacterial SSU rRNA
Rfam family: Bacterial small subunit ribosomal RNA
Source: RNAcentral